This 350-nucleotide ribosomal RNA is filed under the name uncultured bacterium. RNAcentral describes it as "bacterial SSU rRNA". It matches the Rfam family "Bacterial small subunit ribosomal RNA", at positions 28 to 369 of the family's 1533-position model. The record is from RNAcentral.
GACGAACGCUGGCGGCGUGCUUAACACAUGCAAGUCGAGCGAGGUCCAACCGGUGGCAACACCGGGGAAGACCUAGCGGCGAACGGGUGAGUAACACGUGAGCAACCUGCCCCGAAGACUGGGAUAACACCGGGAAACCGGUGCUAAUACCGGAUGCCCUCACCGGGUCGCAUGACCUGGUGAGGAAAUGAAUUUUGCUUCGGGAGGGGGCUCGCGGGCUAUCAGCUUGUUGGUGGGGUAACGGCNCACCAAGGCUACGACGGCUAGCUGGUCUGAGAGGACGAUCAGCCACACUGGGACUGAGACACGGCCCAGACUCCUACGGGAGGCAGCAGUGGGGAAUCUUGCGC